AUGUGGAUAAUGGUUCUGGAUCCAGGCAAAAUCAAAACGCUUGGGGGGGAUGGCAGAUUUCCACAGAGAGAAGGCCCUGAUCUAGGAAAAAGUGGGAAUAACUUCAGAAUUCCCUGUAACAAGUGCAAAGAUUUCAGACAUCAAACUAGAGACUGCAAGCUUCCUAACUGUAUCAUAUGUGGAAAAAAUUCUCACAUCACUGAAGACUGUAACUGGAUGAAACAGAUUAAGCCCCUGCCUAAAUAUGUUGGAUAUGCAGCCAGAGGUUUGGGAGUGCUCUUGGUUCAAAAUUCCAAGGAGGUGGUGAGUAGUGAGCAGAUUAACCCGAUGGGAAUUGUCACUAUUGCAUCUGAGGAGAUCGAUUAG
Molecule: ribosomal RNA, 366 nt
Filed under: Triticum aestivum (bread wheat)
Lineage: Eukaryota; Viridiplantae; Streptophyta; Magnoliopsida; Poales; Poaceae
Description: partial small subunit ribosomal RNA
Source: RNAcentral